Molecule: long non-coding RNA, 4502 nt
Filed under: Homo sapiens (human)
Lineage: Eukaryota; Metazoa; Chordata; Mammalia; Primates; Hominidae
Description: HSALNT0387897
Source: RNAcentral
AGCAAACUUGAAGGUAUGGAUAAGGCCCUGAGUCAUCUUCCUGAGCUGAAUGAUAGUUAAGCUGAAUUAACAAUUUGGACAAGACAGCAAAUGCUAUUGUCCAAGUUUUCUAAAGAAGAAUCUGAAGUGAAAUGACAUCAAGAGACCUAUCAAGACCUGUAUCCAGGAAAAGACCAAACCAAUGCAGACCAAACCAAUGCAGAACUCCUAUGUGCUGAUGGUGGUCUUACAUUUCCCUAAGUUUCUGCCGACUAAACUGUGCACACGUUCUCAGGACCUCCUGAAGCUGCGUCACAGGCACUAAUCAAAGAACACAACCAAGAGUUUGGCCUUUUCUUCAGCACUGGGAAUUGUGAUCCAAAGCUUUUCCUGAUGAAGCACAAAGUUGGAGAAAAAAAACGCAAACUAAACAACAACAAUGAAACAGAACAGAGUGAAUCUGCUGUAGCUCAAGAGAGGACGUAGCUGCCCCCACUCCGCAUCCCCGGGCUCGGGUUUGCCUUGCUGACCUCUGCUGCCACCUGGUGCCGCACAGAGAAACUGAGGAGAAACCACAUCAGUCUCCUUCAGCCUCAGCUUCACAUCUGUGGGUCAAGUAACCCUUUCAGAAGCUGAAUAAUGUGGGAAAGCUUUCCUCUCAGGAAAAUGCACACAUCCAACUUUGAGAAGAUGCCCUUGGGGGCGCUUCAAGGAUUCUAGAUAAUAACCCCCUUUCCCGAACAUCCAAGAACCUAAGAUUUUUUUUUUUUUUUUGAGAAAGUCUCGCUCUCUCUCCCAGUCUGGAGUGCAGUGGCGUGAUCUUGGCUCACUGCCAGCUCCACCUCCCAGGUUCACGCCAUUCUCCUGCUUCAGCCUCCCUAGUAGCUGGGGCUACAGGCACCUGCCACCAAACCCGGCUAAUUUUUUUGUAUUUUUAGUAGAGACGGGGUUUCACCGUGUUAGCCAGGAUCGUCUUGAUCUCCUGACCUUGUGAUCCACCCGCCUCGGCCUCCCAAAUUGCUGGGAUUACAGAUGUGAGCCACCGCACCUGGUCCAAGAGCCCAAGUUUUAGAUCUAGAGUGAUGUCAGCAUGACAUUGAUUUCCUGAGGCCCAGGGGCGAAGGAGCUGAGGACAGCAGAGGGGUGAAGGAACUCAGCUACAGACAGCAGCAGCUGAUGCACAGGCCUCCCAGCGCCUGAAGUCACCCGGAAUUGGGAAGUGCUCAGAAGCUUACAAAGCUGCCUCGAGGUGGGAACAUGACAUAAAUCCAAGAGCAGAUCCCUGAUCCUAUAAAAAUGUACUAGAUGCAGUGGGGGCAUUUUAAAUGAGCAGAGAAGGACAGACAGAUAAACAGAAGGACAAACAGUAUUGGGAUUGGGAUAAAUGCUCAGCUUUUGCCCAAAUCUUAGUGACUUAAGCAUCACUUAUUUGCUCACGAUUCUGUGGCUGGACCAUUUGGUUUGGCUCACAGGGCAGGGACUGUGCUGGUCUUACCUGAGCAGACCUGCAUGUCUGCGGUCAACUGGGUUGGCAGAGACAGAGUGACUGUCUUCCUCCAGGAAGCAGCAGGUUAACUGGUUGGCAGAGACAGAGGGACAGAGGGACUGUCUUCCUCCAGGAAGCAGCAGGUUAACUGGUUGGCAGAGACAGAGGGACUGAGGGAUUGUCUUCCUCCAGGAAGCAGCAGGUUAACUGGUUGGCAGAGACAGAGGGACAGAGGGACUGUCUUCCUCCAGGAAGCAGCAGGUUAACUGGUUGGCAGAGACAGAGGGACUGAGGGACUGUCUUCCUCCAGGAAGCAGCAGGUUAACUGGUUGGCAGAGACAGAGGGACAGAGGGACUGUCUUCCUCCAGGAAGCAGCAGGUUAACUGGUUGGCAGAGACAGAGGGACUGAGGGACUGUCUUCCUCCAGGAAGCAGCAGGUUAACUGGUUGGUAGAGACAGAGGGACUGAGGGACUGUCUCCCCCCAGGAAGCAGCAGGUUGGCUCUGUUUCCUUCGUGGGGCAGCUGGUCUCCAGGGCAGCAAGAGAGACCAAGCCCCAGUGCACAUUCUACAGCCUCUGUGCACAUCAGACUUGUUAAUAUCCCAUUGGCCAGUGUAAGUCACAUGGCCAAGCCCAGAUUAAGGAGUGGAAAGAUGGAGGCUAUCUCCUCCUGGGAGAGGAGGCCAAGGAGGUGGGAGUAUUAUGUGGCCACUUAUGUUUGCAAUCUACCAUAAUUAGCACUUUGAGAAAAGAAUUAACUGAGAAACUUGCUUCAAAUAGGGCAUUCAGUAAAAUGAAGCCCCAAUUGAAGUAAAAUGCAUAUAUAAAAAAUGAAACUGUGACCGAUUUUAAGGACAGUAUUGGCAAAUAUUUCUGUGCUCUUGGAGGAGAAGACCCUUAUUGGCAUGACAUGUCAGAAACCACAAUGAAAGAAUUAUUUUAACUUGCAUUCAUAAAAAUUAAAAUUAUUCAUUAAAAACAUCGUGAAUGAAAUUAAAAGUCAAAAUGUAAGCCAGAAAAUUAUUUACAAUGUAUGUGUCAGGAAAAGACAAUACCCUUCAAACUUUGAGAGUUUACAUCAGAAAGAAAACAGCAAAUGACAUGAUCCAAACUUGAUAAAGGACAUGAAAAAGAGCCAGCACUUAGUAUGUUUUCUGAAUGAAUAAGUAGCCAACAGCACAUGAAAAUGCGUGUAAUCCAUUUGUAAGCAGAGAAAUGCAAACUAAAACAGUAAAGUGUCAUUUUCAUUUCCUGGAUUGGCAAAGGGUUUUAUGUAUUUUACUGAUAGUGCUCAAUAUUAGCAGUAAACAACAAAUGGUGAGUAAAUAUGAGCUUCGGAACCUCAGGGAAAUGAUCUCCUUAUUUCAACCUGUAGAUUCCUUCCUACAACCAGUGUCUACAGAGCACCUACUAUGUGCCAGGCACAGCCUAAGUCCUGAAGGUGUAGUCUCCACUGAGAAGGUGAUAUUUGCACAAAGACCUGAAAGACAGGAGUGAACUGUGUGGAUAACUGUGGGUACCCCUACAGGCAGAGGAGUAGCAAUGUGGGUCCCAAGGUGGGACCACAUCAGACAUGUUCGAGGACUAGCUGAGGGAGAGAGGUGGGAGGUCAGAGGAGAUGGGGGCCGGCUCUGCUGGCCAUCACGAGCACUCUGGGUGCAGAGGGCGAGAGGUGGAAGGUCAGAGGAGAUGGGGGCCGGCUUUGCUGGCCAACACGAGCACUCUGGGUGCUGAGGGCGAGAGGUGGGAGGUCAGAGGAGAUGGGGGCUGGCUCUGCUGGCCGUCACGAGCACUCUGGGUGCUGAGGGCAAGAGGUGGGGAGGAGGUCAGAGGAGAUGGGGGCUGGCUCUGCCGGCCAACACGAGCACUCUGGGUUUUCCUCCAAAUGCUAUGAGAGCAGGGGAGUAACCUGGUCUGACUUGGGUGUGAGCAGAUCUCUCUGGUUGUUGUUCUGGAAAAAACUGAGGUGCCCACGUGAAAGCAGAGAUCGGUUAGGAGGCUGCUGCAGCAAUUCAGGCAAAAAUGGGUGGCGGGCCUCGGGUGUAGUGGAGGAGAAGCGAUCGGAUUUUGGAUAUUUGUAGCUCCCCCAAUACGAUUUCCUGGAGAAGGAGAUGACUUCAAUCUUCUGGCCUGAGUAGCUGAAAGGAUGAAGCUGUCCUUCGUGGAGGUGGGGAAUCCACAGAGAAGCGGGUAGGGAGAGAGUAUCAGGAGCUCAGUGUUAGCCAUGGAUGUUCGAGGGGAGGUAUUGAGCAGCUGAUAGAGACACAGGCCUGUGGUCCCAGGAAAAGGUCUGGGGGUCACUAGCCCAUGGAUGGAGUCACAGGCUGCAUAGACUGCAGGAAAGCGAAGGUGGAGAGAGAAGAGCAGAGUACCAGGAUGGACCAUUGAGCACCCUGGUGUUGAGAGCAAGUGGCCUCUAGUCAGAGUUGGGUCAGGGCCACUGUGAGUGGGCUGCCCCCAACAUGAGUCGGCUGUCUAGGACUAGUUUAUCUCUGCUUCUCACUUUACUGGUAUUAUGGGGCAGCUCCUGCUGUCUUCCAAUUUGGUGUUUGUAAAAUGAGACAUAAAAAGCAGGUGACAAGGAUACCAGGAAGUGCACAGGUCUGAGUGGAGUAUGGGGCUGUCUCCAGGGGAGAGGUGGCUGUUUGGAGGGAAGGGUGACAAUGGAUAAUCAGGGUCCAUGGGCAUCCCUGCUUGUUUUGGAGCCAUGGACACUCAAAUAAUGUGAUUUUAUGAGGCUAUUGGAGAAAAAAUUGGCCACAGGGCCAAGAGGGCUGGGAGGACCCCAGCUCUCCGACUGGUGUUUGCUUCUCUGCCAUCAGGGUCGGGAGGCCAUGCCAAGCAUUGUGAUUUGCAGAGUCCAUGAGACAGGAACACUCCCACCACAGUGACCUGCCUCUGCACACAGCCAGAAUGUAGCUGACUCCUUUCUUCUCCCACUUGCAUGCUUCCAAGCCUUCAAAACAUACUCAUCUCCAUGUUCUGUGAAUUAGCAAUUUUUAAAAAAAUAAAAAAAUAAACAAACUCAUCUCUGAA